This 87-nucleotide non-coding RNA is filed under the name Acinetobacter pittii. The record is from RNAcentral. Lineage: Bacteria; Pseudomonadati; Pseudomonadota; Gammaproteobacteria; Moraxellales; Moraxellaceae.
CUUUGCGGUAGGACGGUUGGGGGACGCCCCGUGCGUGCUGGUUCUAUGGAUCCCAGUCUGUCAACCCCUUUCCGUUCUACCACCAUA